GAUGAACGCUGGCGGCGUGCCUAAUACAUGCAAGUCGAGCGAACAGAUGAGGAGCUUGCUCCUCUGACGUUAGCGGCGGACGGGUGAGUAACACGUGGAUAACCUACCUAUAAGACUGGGAUAACUUCGGGAAACCGGAGCUAAUACCGGAUAAUAUAUUGAACCGCAUGGUCAAUAGUGAAAGACGGUUUUGCUGUCACUUAUAGAUGGAUCCGCGCCGCAUUAGCUAGUUGGUAAGGUAACGGCUUACCAAGGCGACGAUGCGUAGCCGACCUGAGAGGGUGAUCGGCCACACUGGAACUGAGACACGGUCCAGACUCCUACGGGAGGCAGCAGUAGGGAAUCUUCCGCAAUGGGCGAAAGCCUGACGGAGCAACGCCGCGUGAGUGAUGAAGGUCUUCGGAUCGUAAAACUCUGUUAUUAGGGAAGAACAAAUGUGUAAGUAACUAUGCACGUCUUGACGGUACCUAAUCAGAAAGCCACGGCUAACUACGUG
This 496-nucleotide ribosomal RNA is filed under the name uncultured bacterium. Its description in RNAcentral is "partial 16S ribosomal RNA". It matches the Rfam family "Bacterial small subunit ribosomal RNA", at positions 28 to 507 of the family's 1533-position model. The record is from RNAcentral.